Stegostoma tigrinum is the source of this 8957-nucleotide long non-coding RNA. RefSeq lists it as uncharacterized. NCBI's taxonomy places the organism in Eukaryota, Metazoa, Chordata, Chondrichthyes, Orectolobiformes, Stegostomatidae. The record is from RefSeq and is a predicted model, not a curated record. The transcript is spliced from 3 exons.
GCACAGGAUAGACGCAGCCUUCAGUUACAAUGUGGCAGCAUCUCAACGAGAAAGAGAGGCAUCUAUUAGAAACCAAGAUAAACAAAAAAUGCAGGCAAGACUUAGUCGGUCUUCUGGUAACAUCUGCAGGGUGGGAAACAAGAGUUAACAUUUGAAAUCGAUGGCCGUUUCUUCUAUUUUGGAGCCGGAAGUAAACAAACCCGGAAAAGAGAUGGAUACUAAAAGCCUUUCUUCCUCACUUUCAGCUGGCGCAAAUUCUUCCAGUCUCACCCCCUGCCACGUGUUAAUAAUACCCCAUGAGCUAACCCAGAUUUUGCGGACUGAGAAAAUAUGAAGUAUACGGACCAAAUUCAUUGGAAUUGAAGAGUCACCAGACUCGAAAGAUUUUGCCAGAUUUGCUGAGAUUCUCCAGCAAUUUCCAUUUUUGUCACAGUGAAGAAUCAACCACCUUGCUGUGUGUCUGGAGUCACAUGAAGUCUAGACCAGAUAUCUCCUCCUGCUCCUUUGGCAUCAACAAAGGAAGAACCGUGUAGAAGGUCAGGACUCAGCAGUGGGUGGAAGGACCACCACAAUUCUCCUCUGGCAUCAAACCUAUCCUAUAAGAGAAAAGUCAGAGCCAUGUCAGCAGUCCAAAGUACCACUGAAGAUGCACAGCAAAACCUGAUCCGACGAUUAGCUGUAUCUACAUAUUCACUUUCCAGAACAGGAAUACUAUCUUGAGAUUUUCUUUCUCCCUUUAAUUCCCUGUUCCUAACUGGUCACCCCAAUUGAAAUGAAGUGACUUAGCACAGACCGAAAAAAAAGUUAUGUUUGGUAAAGCAAUUGCAGACUUUGUCCAUUCCGAGUAUUUGGUGAGCAAGUAAAUGAAUUAUAAAAAAAUGUAAAGUGUUUUUUUUUGAAACAGUUAGAAGCAGAAGACCCAAGAAUAAAAACAAGAAUGCUCAGUUACGUAGAGCUAACUCAAAGAUGUGACUGAACCAAGUGACCACCAAACAUCACUGUGCUCUUUGGUAAUAUCAUGUUUAAAACUACUGUCUCAAUGUAUGUAGUUGUUUGUAAAGUAAUUAAAAUUGACUAAAUAUUUUAGAAAGUAUUGUUAGUUGAUUAUAUUUAACAUAUCAUUAAACAAAGAACACUGGAUCCAUUUAUUGCUAAAAAUGCCACAUCAACUGUGGGGCAUCUGGUCAGGUUUACUUAUUAUCGCCUUCAAUUAGAACUCUUAUGGAUUUUCUAAUUCUCGAUAAAAGAAGCAAGAUCUAUGUUUGAUACAUAAUUGAAUGCAAGUUAGGGUAGGAUUGGAUAAUUUAAGCUAUUAGCCUCAUUAUGUCUGCACACUUAUUGACUAUUGGUGCAUUUUUAUAAAAUGUGUUGCUAUUAACUGAAAAUGAAACUCUUCUAUUCCACUGAUCAAAUUUGGAUAAUACUGUUGUAAUAUCCUAUAACCAUAGUCAAUUGACACUCCAUUCUAGUUAUUAAUUAAAGUCAAUAUUUUAUUGCAAGAUCUUUUACUAUGGAAUAAGGAAACAGACACACUGAUAGGUGUACAGUACCAUUGCAAAUCAAUAGAUUUUUGUUUAAAAUUGUGAUAAGUUAGGUUAUUACAACAAUUAAAAUAAUGUGAUAUUCGCAGUUACAUAAUCUCUAAUUAUUUAGUGCUGUGUAUUUUUUAAUCAUCAUCCCUGGACAUAAUAGUGUGAUUCUAUGCUUUUUUAAAAUUCCACUUGCUAAGUAUUUGUUUCUUCCCUCUUUUGGAUUUUCUGUAAUAUACAGCUCAAGUGCUGUGAGGCCAUCAACUAGCGUACCUCUACAAUGCAUCUCAAGCUUCAGAAAGUGACUAUUUCUGAGACAAAGGCCCAUUUUCCCUCCUAUCGUCCAGAACAAAACCAGUGAUAUUCAUUCUAUAUCUUUCUGAAAAGAGGGGUUUGAAUUGCUCACAUAGGACAAACCCAGGUCCUAGCGUAGAACUGUCCUAUCCCUCAAUUUGAAAGAUAAUGGAAAUGUUCAAUCUAUUUCCCUUAUUGCAAUGACUGGCUCUACAUUUUUAGUUAUGUAGCUGAUGAGUUUUUGUUUGGAAAUUGACAACUACAACCCUGAAUUACUCUUUCAAACUUCAGCAGUGGCCACUGAUAUUGAAGUUUGAAAGAAAUGACUGCUGAGCAGGUACAUUUUCGGCUGCAUUGAAAUCAUCCAACUUUAUGUUAUUAGUUCUGCUUAACUCAAUGUGAAUGCUGCAUUUGAAAUAUCAUGGUUGCUCGAUUUACACUAUACUUUAGAGCAGGAUAAGAGCGAUUGCCAAACCCUGAAGUGCAAAAAACAAUAGAAGCUAGUAUCACUUUAAGCUGCUGGAAUGUUAGAAAAUGUGGAGCCACACAAACAUUGACAUUCAUUCCAUUAAUCAGCAAAUAAUAGCAAGAUCUAUUGCUGCACUUAUUUUAAACAGCAAAUAAGAAAGUGAUCAUACAGGCAUGAAGUCUUGGCAUCGGCAUAAAUCUAAACUCAGCAUUCUACUAAAUGAUUACAUUACAGGUUUAAUUCAUGGCUAAAGCCAUACUGAACUGAAGCCUAAAUUAUUUGUUAUAAACAGAGUAAUGCAAAUAAUUGUACAGCAUUCCAAGAAUUGUCAGCAUGUGAAAAUCAGACGUAAUUUUAGUAAUUCCUUUAUACAUUAAAAUGAACAGCUGCAGCAAAAAACUAAAUUAUAUCGGAUUACAAUGUCUAUCUUUUUGUGGAUAUUGUCCAAAACUUGAAUGCAGACUUGAACAUAUAAUCUAUUUUGAAGAUUAUUGUUAAUAUUACAAAGAAAGUUGCUGGCUUUGAACCUCCUGUAGUUGUGUUGAUUUGUGAUAAUAGCCACCUCUUCUGUGAUACAAACUGUUCUAUUCUUUUUCACAAUUUUUUGUAAUAGCAAACUCUUCAAUUAUUGUUUGGCGCACUUGAGUGUAAGCUAUGGUUUAUUUUUUUUCCAGUCCAUUCAUUCCAAAUCUUUGUGAACCCACUUGAAGCCUUACUUGGUGAAAAAGAUAAAAAAGAAAAUCAAGAACAGACUUUUUCUCUUGUCACUUCAAAAGAAUAGCACAAGAAUAGGAAGUACAGCCCAGUGUAAUCUAGAAAACAUAAAAUGUGAUAAAAUCUCUUUGCAAAGGCCUCAGGUAAAAGUAGAACUGGGGUUUUUUGUGUUCUUCAAAUUGUUUUAAUGGAGUUCGAUCGUCAAGAUGCUUCCUUCAAUGUUUGGUGAUUCAACCGAUUUGCUUACUGCAAUGAUGGAUCACUUCCCACCAAUUGCUUCCCUUUUCUUUUUACAUCAAUGAUGAUCUACAUUUGUGAAUUUUUCUCACCCUCGUUAGCUUCAUCCAGGCUCAACAUAUUUUGUUCCUUGUCCUUUUCAGAAUAGUCAAGUGCUAUUUCAGUGUCUGUUGUAUCUACAGUUUGCACUUCUUGAACUCCUUCCUUGUGCAACAUUGGAGUACUUUCAGAAACAUGAUUAGACUCAAUGCUGUCAACACAAGGUUCUUUUGCUGGACAUUCAUUUUGCUUUAGUGGUUCUGCAGCUUUCUUAUCUUCAUCUGCCACAUUAUUAACAGUUGCUGUUAAGUCUUCUUUUGACUCCUCUUCCUCACUCUGAUUUUUCAUACUUUCUUCAGUUGUUGAUGGUGAGGUUUUGUGUUCAAGCUCCUCAACCAUGGAUGGUGAGUUUUUGGGUUCCUUAUCUUCCUCACCAUGCUCUUCCAAAAGCUCCUCAACUGUGGGUGGUGAGCCUUUGGGUUCCCUAUCUUCCUCACCAUGGUCUUCUAAAAGCUCCUCAAUGGUUGACUGUGAGCCUUUAGAUUCAUCAUCUUCCUCACUUUGUUCUUCCCCAAGUUCCUCAACUGUUGAUUGCAAGGCUUUGAGUUCAUUAGCUUUCUCACUGUGGCUUUGCACAAGUUCUUCAACUGAUGCCAGUAUGUUUUCUACUUUAGGUUCCUUAUUUUCCUCACUUUGACCAUCCACAAGUUCAACUGCAGACACAUCAACCUCUUUCAUUUCAUCUAUAUCCUUUAAAUGUUCGUCCAGUUUUGGACUAGGUUCCUUGUCAACUUGACUAUGAAUUUCGUCAUUAGACGAAAUAGCUUUCUGAGUCUCAGGACCUUCUUCAACUGGCACAACUGCCACUGUUAACAGAUCAUGUAUUUCUUUUAAACUAUCAGGAGCUGGGGCAGGUAUCCUUUCUUCUUGUGUUUCAGCUUGUCUGUUCUGGCAUUCACUUGUUGGUACAUUAUCAUUAUUGUUCUGAUUAUCUAAAGUAAUUAGUUUGUCAGGUUCCUGAUUGGCAUCUACUUGCAUAAUCACUUCUCCACUCUGUUUAGAAUCUAAUGUCGUAUGAAGAAUGUUAUCCUGAGAGGCUGAUGACGGUUCACAUUCCUGCUUCUCAUUCAAUGAAGAUUCUGUUGCAGGGCUAGACAUUUGUAAAGUAAUUUUUUCUUCCGUUUCUAAUCCCUCAGCAUCUGACCCUUCGGAUGAUGUUUUAGCAGGGCUCCUUGAUUGAGAAUCUGGUGGAGUCUUCCCUUCAUUUUUGUCAGUGAGAUUGCUAUCGCUGUCACUAGUAUAAGUCAUGUUGUCUUCAAACAGAUUGUGUUUCUUCAAGAUGGCAGCUUCAUUCACCACUAUGAAGAAAAAAUAAAUUGUUUCUUAAAUGACAACAAAUUAAAACUGUGUAGUUUACCUUAAUGAAAUGCAACAUUUCUAGUAAAAGUUUUGCACAGAUAAUUAGUCAAAAAUGGAGGCCAAGCCAAAAGAAAUCGAAGUAUGGUUAGCUAAAAGCUCAGAUUUGGGUUUUAAAGAAAGUCUUAAAGGAGGGUAGGAAGAUGCACAGGAAGUGGACAUAGAGAGAAAGUGCAACUGAAGGCAUGAUCACCAAUAAUGGGUCAAAGGAGGAUGGAUGCUCAAAAGGUUAGAAGAAUGAAGAAUGUGAAAAUCUGAAGGAGAUUUCUCAACACAGGGAGAACUUGGAUCAGAGGAGGGUGAGAAUUUUCAAAUAGUGGAAAAUUGGUGACUGCGGAGCAAUGAAGCUCAGAAAAAGUAGUGGUGAUGGAUGAACAAGAUUUGCUGCAUGUAGAAUUUAGUCAGCAGAUUUUUGGAAGUGUUGUAAUCAAUACAUAGUGAGCAAUGGGAGGCCUGGAAAUCACUGCAACAGGCGAUUUUAAAGUAACAAUGAAUAACCGAACUUUUCAACAGUGGAUAGCAACAAAUUCAAUGUAAGGCAUGGGGUUGAAUGUCGUGACAAAGUUGCCAGUUUGACACCAUCCAGGACAAGCAGCCUGCAUGACUGGCACCACAUCCACUCCCUGCACCACCGAUGCUCAAGAGCAGCAAGAUGCACUGCAAAAAUUCACCAAAGUUUCUUUGACAGCACCUUCUAAACCCACAACCACUUCUAUCUAGAAGGACAAUGGCAGUACAUACAUGAGAACACCACCACCCUGCAAACUCCCCUCCAAGCCACUCACCAUCACCUGACUUUGAAAUAUAUUGCCAAUUCUUUCAGUGUUGCCGAGUAAAGUCUUGGAAUUCCCUCCCUAAGGGCAUUGUGGAUCAACCUACAGUACGUGGACUGCAAUCGUUCGAGAUGGCAGUUCACCACUACCUUCUCAAGGGCAACUUGUAAUAGGAAAUAAAUGUCAGCCAGCAACGCCCAUGUCCUUCAAAUGAAUAAAAAAAACUUACAUGAUAUUUGGCUAUUAUGUACGAGCCAUAUUUCAUAGCUGCCGAAGUCAGUUCACAGUACUAAAACAUCUCCCUCCUACCUUAACCCAUACCAAGCAGUAAACUAGCUGGAAGGUCUUUUUCUCUUUAAUUAAAAAUCAAAACAUUUUGGGUAUACCCCAGGUUAAAUGACCACACUAAGUGCUGUUGUAUCACCGUGGUAUUUAAGUUUUUGGUCUUCCAGAACUGUACCAGCCAUGUUGAAGUUUCAGCUAAUUUUCUAAGAUUGGCACUCACGAAACAAAACACUCACCUUUGACCACCUCCUUGAGAACAGUCUCAAGUAAGAUUUCUUCAUAGAUAUUCUCCACCUGAAUAAGCUUUGUAUAAUCUGCAAAGAUGUAUUCCUCAAACUUCUGGAGCUUCUGUUCAAGGAGAAAAUUGUAGUUGACAUUCAGCUCUUUGCUAACCAGCAAUAUGGUUUAUUUUUAACCAUCCUCAAUUCAGACAUUCACAUUGUCUCUUCAGCUACAAGUUGUAGCCAUGAGGAGAAUAUCAUUUUCAAGACAUAUGGCUGAAAAAUUCUUUUAGGUAAUUGCACGAGAUUUUUGAAUAUGACACAGCUGAUUGCAUAUCCUCAUGACAACUCCACCAUCUCCUACUCCAACUUGGUUAAGUUUGGGGUGAAAAUGUCUGUUAUCGGUCUUCCCGUCCCACAACGAUUAAGGCCCUUCAGCAGACAACUCAUGAGCAACUAAGGGGUACAUUCUAACACUCCAGUAUUUACCAAGAUGCAGGUGGGUCUGUCACUGUCGGCAGAACAAGUAAAGCCGUACAGACUGUGUCAUUUCCUCAGGAUUUUGGGGAGACCCACCCUCAAAGAUACUCAGUAUGUAAUCGAGAAGCAUGGCAUCAGGAAGGUGGACGGGUGGAGCUGUUGAGAGCCAUCCCCUCCAUUUAUUGCUGACAAGGGCACAAUGUUUCUACCCCUCCCCCACCAAGAACUCCUCAUGAGGGACCCUAAGUAAAACUGAAAGAAAUGCGGAUGCAGUAAAGCAGAGACAAAAACAGAAAUUACUGGAAAAGCUCAGCAGGUCUGGUGACAUGUGUGGAGAGAAAUCAAAAAGCUAACGCUUUGGGUUGAGUGACCCUUCCAUAGAAUACGAAGCAUUAAAUGAGUUCUCUCCACAGAUGCUGCCGCACACUGAGUUUUUCCGGGAUUUUCUGUUUCUGUCUCUUGAGGGAAUCUGUUCGGCUAAAGGAAGCAGGGAGGCACUGCUUUUUUUUAUUCUGAGUCACUUCUUUGUAAGGUUAUAGCGUCACUUGAAACAUUAUCUUCAGUUUUUGUGUUAAUGUAUGGGGUAUUUGGACUUAUACAAUCAUAAUGAGAAGAAUUAAAUCAAUAUCCUCAAUCAUUACCAACUCCAGUUAACUUUAAACCCACAACAAACGAGGACAGAUAUAAAGAAACAAAACACUUUUUUUUAAAAAAAGAUAACUGACCCAUACAUUUAAACACAAAAGCCAUCACCCUGAACACAACUUCAGCUGAUUGAUGAGGUAUGAGCUAACACAUUUCCAUCAUAUAUUCACAAAGCCAGAAUACAUUAACCCAGAAAUUAUUAGUCUUUUCUCUGCAUCUCAAGAUCUUAAUUUCAGAUUUAAGUUUAAUAAUUAAGAAGUGCUCAUUACAAUGGCAUCUACUACAAUCUUCCCCCACAGGGUAGCUCCCAAACAUGCAACACCUUUAGAGAUACCACAUUAAUUUGCUAAUUACUUAAGUAAUUUCAAAUUUUCUUUCUCCCUGUUAGCUGAAUGUUCCUUUGGUGACAUUUUUGAAAUGUUCUCAUACUUUGCAGCCUCUGUCUGUCUCCUAAGGCUUCCCUUUUUCUUUCACUCUCCUUUGCAGCCAGUAGUUUCCCCAUUUCUUCCCUGUCCCCUUGCAGCCUCCAUAUGUCCCAAGGCCUAUCUCUGAACCCUGGCCCCCGGUCCAGAGGUAGGCACACCACCACUGUUUGGCAUUUUGUCAUGAUCGGAGAUGAAGCCUGACCCUGAUGUCUGUCUAACUGGCUUGUGAUCUCUCACGGGAUUGGUAUCCUACAGACAAGUCACCUCUGCGUCCACAAGACUUGUGCAAUUUAACUUCCUACAAUUAUUUAAAUGCAAAACAAAAAUUGAAAAUAAAUAGUGUAGGUAUCAGAAUUGCUCUGAUGGUGGAUACCUCUGCUUAAUCUGUCUCUCUUUCUUGUUUUCAUGAAGUCAUUGUUUUAUAAUACCCCUGCAGCAGAGGGAGAAAUUCCAGUUUAUAUCUAUGUGCCCAUUGUUGCCCAGCAUUAUUUCAAACAAAGUCGUUAUUUUUUGUUACGUUGCAGAAAUGAGAUUUAGAGCAAUUACUUUUUAAUUGGGGGGUUUAAUCCUGUUUAAGAAAAUAGUUACAAUUUGGAUUAAACAAAAGAUAAACAUUGCAUACCGAUUCAUGAGGAGCCUUUGAAGAUCACCAAUUUUAAACUUUCAGAAUGAAGAUUAAAUGUAAUUUGUAACAUCAAAAGUUUACUGUAGCAGCAAGAUCUGGUGCAUCCUUCAAGCUACAAACUCAAUUCCCAUUCCUAAUUGAUCCGUUUCCAUCUAUUUGGGUUCAGUUGUUUUCCUUUCUUUAACUGACAGCGAUUUUUAUUUUUCUUUCAUCAAGACCCUAAACCCCUGCAUUGAUGGCUGCUAUUUGAUUCCCAGGGAUACAGAUGGGAAAAAAUUGUAAGAAGUGCCCAAAUAUUCUUCCAAACUUCACUUCCAGGGAUCUCAAGUGAACAAACGUAUAAAAGACAUCUCCUGCACCUACAGCUGCUAUCCCUGCACAGUGACAGACUGAUCUACUGCUCAGGUCAGCAACUCCUCCCAAAUCACAUUAAGUCUUGCCCAGUCUUCAGGGAAAGUCAAGUGAAAAGAACAAGAUAAAAUGAAGGGUCUAAGCCCGAAGCAUCAGCUUUCCUGCUCUUCUGAUGCUGCUUGGCUUGCUGUGUUCAUCCAGCUCUACACCUUAUCUAAAAUGUGAAUUUUGAUUUUCAGCAAGUGUUUCUGAAGUUGUUGAUCCUGCCCUGAAAUUUAAACCAGGCAGAACCCACAGCAUCAAGAUCUAGGAUCGGAAUUUAAUGUCCUCUCCUGAAGUGAGUUUGGUGGCAGCGGGGCAUUUAAUUAGGUGGGAGGGUACAAAGUAGGGCCCUGCUGCCUUCCCACCUCGGCCCCUGAUUAAGUGUGGGUCAGGAAGGCUCACAGAUAUCAAA